This 1372-nucleotide long non-coding RNA is filed under the name Olea europaea (common olive). RNAcentral describes it as "long non-coding RNA (OEUR_LNC003880)". Lineage: Eukaryota; Viridiplantae; Streptophyta; Magnoliopsida; Lamiales; Oleaceae. The record is from RNAcentral.
ACACCCUAGAUGGAGUCCGAGAUGAGACGGGUGCUAGCCUUACUCCAUGGGCUAUUUGGACUCGAGCAUGGACAGCUGAAGAGAAUAGGCAUGGUGACCUUCUCAACAAGUAUCUUUAUCUCUCUGGACGGGUUGACAUGAAGCAAAUUGAGAAGACAAUUCAAUACCUGAUUGGCUCCGGGAUGGUAAGUUUACUGUUAUCUCAGAUAUUAGCCCUGUUUGGUGGAGAUUAAAAGCAAAAUUUUAGUCAAUUUUGAUCAAAGUUGACGAAAUGUGUGGUUGAAAAGUUGUUGGUCCUAUUAAAUAUGUGGCUAAAAAUUAUUUCGAAUUUGACUUAUUAAAAUCUUGAUUUUAAUCAAUACCAAACAGGGCAUAGUUAAUUGGUUUUGAAAUUUUUUAAUAAACCCCUGGAUGCCAUACAAACUCUCUCUUAUUGCUUGAAUUUCUUGGUGUCUUAACAUAUUUCAUACUAUAUCUAUAUGAAUUUGAAGAAUUAAAGCUUAUUAGAUCAAAUUUCACUUUUAGUAGCGGUGACAUUAGCAGUUCCUGAAUCUGUUUAUCUCCUCUUUCCCUCUCACUUAAUCGCCUAUGUGUGUGCAUGCAUGCUUGUCCAUUUAGUGCAUGUUUGAUAAGAAGUACUUCAAUUUCACGUUCUGAUAUAUACCCAUGUAUUUCCCAUUUUGUUUGUAAAGCGAAUAUGACUUCUCUUGGUAUGUACUAAUAUUAACUUAAUUUUUAGUAGCGGUGACAUUAGCAGUUCCUGAAUCUGUUUAUCUCCUCUUUCCCUCUCACUUAAUCGCCUAUGUGUGUGCAUGCAUGCUUGUCCAUUUAGUGCAUGUUUGAUAAGAAGUACUUCAAUUUCACAUUCUGAUAUAUACCCAUGUAUUUCCCAUUUUGUUUGUAAAGCGAAUAUGACUUCUCUUGGUAUGUACUAAUAUUAACUUAAUUUAUCUUUCUUUUCGCCUUUUUAUUUUCUAUCGUCUGCCAAAUCAUCUUACUUUCCCAAUGCCCGCCAUUCCAUUCUGUGUUAUAAUUUAACUUACGUGUGAUAACUGAUAGGAUCCUCGUACGGAGAACAAUCCCUACCUGGGAUUUAUCUACACUUCUUUCCAGGAGAGGGCUACCUUCAUUUCUCAUGGAAACACGGCUAGGCUUGCCAAGGAACACGGGGACCUGAAAUUGGCUCAGAUAUGUGGUAUCAUUGCUGCGGAUGAGAAGCGCCAUGAAACUGCCUAUACCAAAAUCGUCGAAAAGCUCUUCGAGAUCGAUCCAGAUGGCACUGUAUUGGCACUUGCCGACAUGAUGAGGAAGAAAAUCUCUAUGCCGGCUCAUCUGAUGUACGAUGGCCAGGACGAUAAUCUCUUCGAGAACU